RNAcentral lists this ribosomal RNA (253 nucleotides) under uncultured bacterium. Its description in RNAcentral is "partial 16S ribosomal RNA". It matches the Rfam family "Bacterial small subunit ribosomal RNA", at positions 524 to 776 of the family's 1533-position model. The record is from RNAcentral.
UACGUAGGGGGCUAGCGUUGUCCGGAAUCAUUGGGCGUAAAGAGCGUGUAGGCGGUCCGGUAAGUCCGCUGUGAAAGUCGGGGGCUCAACCCUCGAAUGCCGGUGGAUACUGUCGGGCUAGAGUACGGAAGAGGCGAGUGGAAUUCCUGGUGUAGCGGUGAAAUGCGCAGAUAUCAGGAGGAACACCAAUAGCGAAGGCAGCUCGCUGGGACGGUACUGACGCUGAGGCGCGAAAGCGUGGGGAGCGAACAGG